UAUCACAGAAGUUUUCUACCACUCAAACAUUCCCCCAAAUAAGUCUCAGUCACCUGCCUAUUUAAGUCAUAAUGCCAGAAUGCUGCUCUAUACAUUUUCAUCUUUAAUCCAGUCUGGUGAAUAAGAUUAUGACAGUUCUGCUCCCAUUCUGAGAUGAAAGGAG
Long non-coding RNA from Talpa occidentalis (Iberian mole), 163 nucleotides. RefSeq lists it as uncharacterized. The transcript has 3 exons. The record is from RefSeq and is a predicted model, not a curated record. Lineage: Eukaryota; Metazoa; Chordata; Mammalia; Eulipotyphla; Talpidae.